GAAAAGAGGACGCGGACAGUCUAGUGGAUACGUUAUUAUCAUCCAACACUAAUGUCUCUGUGAUUCCAAUAGUUGGGAUUGGGAAGACAACACUUGCGCAACUAGCCUACUGUGACAAGAGAGUUGCCAGCCAUUUUGAUUUGAAGAUGUGGAUCUCUGUGUGUGAUCAUUUUAAUCCAAAAAAGAUCAUGGCUGAAAUGUUG
Molecule: unclassified non-coding RNA, 203 nt
Filed under: Hevea brasiliensis (rubber tree)
Lineage: Eukaryota; Viridiplantae; Streptophyta; Magnoliopsida; Malpighiales; Euphorbiaceae
Source: RNAcentral